UCGAACGCGUCUCCGUUGAUGAUUUCAGGUGCUUGCACCUGAAAGAUUUAACAUUGAGACGAGUGGCGAACUGGUGAGUAACACGUGGGUAACCUGCCCUUGAAGUAGGGGAUAACACUUGGAAACAGGUGCUAAUACCGUAUAACAACCAAAACCACCUGGUUUUGGUUUAAAAGACGGCUUCGGCUGUCACUUUAGGAUGGACCCGCGGCGUAUUAGCUUGUUGGUAAGGUAACGGCUUACCAAGGCGAUGAUACGUAGCCGACCUGAGAGGGUAAUCGGCCACAUUGGGACUGAGACACGGCCCAAACUCCUACGGGAGGCAGCAGUAGGGAACCUUCCACAAUGGACGAAAGUCUGAUGGAGCAACGCCGCGUGAGUGAUGAAGGGUUUCGGCUCGUAAAACUCUGUUGUUGGAGAAGAACAGGUGUCAGAGUAACUGUUGACAUCUUGACGGUAUCCAACCAGAAAGCCACGGCUAACUACGUGCCAGCAGCCGCGGUAAUACGUAGGUGGCAAGCGUUGUCCGGAUUUAUUGGGCGUAAAGCGAGCGCAGGCGGUUUUUUAGGUCUGAUGUGAAAGCCUUCGGCUUAACCGGAGAAGUGCAUCGGAAACCGGGAGACUUGAGUGCAGAAGAGGACAGUGGAACUCCACGUGUAGCGGUGAAAUGCGUAGAUAUAUGGAAGAACACCAGUGGCGAAGGCGGCUGUCUGGUCUGUAACUGACGCUGAGGCUCGAAAGCAUGGGUAGCGAACAGGAUUAGAUACCCUGGUAGUCCAUGCCGUAAACGAUGAGUGCUAAGUGUUGGAGGGGUUCCGCCCUUCAGUGCUGCAGCUAACGCAUUAAG
Molecule: ribosomal RNA, 847 nt
Filed under: uncultured bacterium
Lineage: Bacteria
Description: bacterial SSU rRNA
Rfam family: Bacterial small subunit ribosomal RNA
Source: RNAcentral